This 700-nucleotide ribosomal RNA is filed under the name uncultured bacterium. RNAcentral's name for it is "bacterial SSU rRNA". It matches the Rfam family "Bacterial small subunit ribosomal RNA", at positions 8 to 751 of the family's 1533-position model. The record is from RNAcentral.
AGAGUUUGAUCAUGGCUCAGGAUGAACGCUGGCGGCGUGCCUAACACAUGCAAGUCGAACGGGAAUCUUCGGAUUCUAGUGGCGGACGGGUGAGUAACGCGUAAGAAUCUAACUUCAGGACGGGGACAACAGUUGGAAACGACUGCUAAUACCCGAUGUGCCGCAAGGUGAAAACUAAUUGGCCUGAAGAAGAGCUUGCGUCUGAUUAGCUAGUUGGUGGGGUAAGAGCCUACCAAGGCGACGAUCAGUAGCUGGUCUGAGAGGAUGAGCAGCCACACUGGGACUGAGACACGGCCCAGACUCCUACGGGAGGCAGCAGUGGGGAAUUUUCCGCAAUGGGCGAAAGCCUGACGGAGCAACGCCGCGUGAGGGAGGAAGGUCUUUGGAUUGUAAACCUCUUUUCUCAAGGAAGAAGUUCUGACGGUACUUGAGGAAUCAGCCUCGGCUAACUCCGUGCCAGCAGCCGCGGUAAUACGGGGGAGGCAAGCGUUAUCCGGAAUUAUUGGGCGUAAAGCGUCCGCAGGUGGUCAGCCAAGUCUGCCGUCAAAUCAGGUUGCUUAACGACCUAAAGGCGGUGGAAACUGGCAGACUAGAGAGCAGUAGGGGUAGCAGGAAUUCCCAGUGUAGCGGUGAAAUGCGUAGAGAUUGGGAAGAACAUCGGUGGCGAAAGCGUGCUACUGGGCUGUAUCUGACACUCAGG